RNAcentral lists this ribosomal RNA (446 nucleotides) under uncultured delta proteobacterium. Its description in RNAcentral is "bacterial SSU rRNA". It matches the Rfam family "Bacterial small subunit ribosomal RNA", at positions 9 to 441 of the family's 1533-position model. Lineage: Bacteria; Deltaproteobacteria. The record is from RNAcentral.
GAGUUUGAUCGUGGCUCAGAGCGAACGUUGGCGGCGCGCCUAACACAUGCAAGUCGAACGCGAAAAGCCUUCGGGCUGAGUAGAGUGGCGCACGGGUGAGUAACACGUGAGUAAUCUGCCCUUUUGCCUGGGAUAACAUGCCGAAAGGCGUGCUAAUACCGGAUAAGACCACGAUUUCUUCGGAAAAUGUGGGAAAAGACGGGGAUUCGAAAGAACCUGUCACAGAAGGAUGAGCUCGCGGCCUAUCAGCUAGUUGGUGAGGUAAUGGCUCACCAAGGCUAAGACGGGUAGCUGGUCUGAGAGGAUGAUCAGCCACGCUGGAACUGAGACACGGUCCAGACUCCUACGGGAGGCAGCAGUGGGGAAUUUUGCGCAAUGGGCGAAAGCCUGACGCAGCGACGCCGCGUGUGCGAUGAAGGCCUUUGGGUCGUAAAGCACUGUCGACC